GAAUCGCGAUAGGAAUUGCGAAUUGCAGAAUUCAGUGAAUCAUCGUAACUUUGAACGCAAACUGCGCUUGGGGGUUAACCCUGAGCAUGCCUCUUUGAGUGUCGGUCAUAAAAUCUCUUUGAUUUUUCUCAGAUUCAAGAUUUCUCAGAUUUCGACGACUGUGAGGAUGAAAAAGAGGAAGAUGAGGUGUUUGAGAAAUCCCUCCAAGUACCGAGUUUUUGAUCUCUUGUUGAUCAAUCUAGUCAUAAGCGAGUGGAGCUAAAUGUUUUCACAAGCGACUAAUUGUUUGAUAAGAGAUUAUAUAAAGACUCUAAUCUUUCAAGACCAACGACCUCAAAUGAGGUAGGAUCACCCGCUGAACUUAA
This 365-nucleotide unclassified non-coding RNA is filed under the name uncultured fungus. RNAcentral's name for it is "sequence contains ITS1". The stretch from base 1 to 104 matches the Rfam family "5.8S ribosomal RNA", at positions 50 to 154 of the family's 154-position model. Lineage: Eukaryota; Fungi. The record is from RNAcentral.